UACAGAGGUCUCAAGCGUUGUUCGGAUUCAUUGGGCGUAAAGGGUGCGUAGGCGGCGCGGUAAGUCGGGUGUGAAAUCUUGGAGCUUAACUCCGAAACUGCAUUUGAUACUGGCGUGCUUGAGGACUGGGGAGGAGACUGGAAUUCACGGUGUAGCAGUGAAAUGCGUAGAUAUCGUGAGGAAGACCAGUGGCGAAGGCGGGUCUCUGGACAGUUCCUGACACUGAGGCACGAAGGCCAGGGGAGCAAACGGG
This 253-nucleotide ribosomal RNA is filed under the name uncultured bacterium. RNAcentral's name for it is "partial 16S ribosomal RNA". It matches the Rfam family "Bacterial small subunit ribosomal RNA", at positions 524 to 776 of the family's 1533-position model. The record is from RNAcentral.